GACGAAGGGGGCAAGCGUUGUUCGGAAUUACUGGGCGUAAAGCGCGUGUAGGUGGUUGCACGAGUCAGGCGUGAAAGCCUCGAGCUCAACUCGAGAAAUGCGCUUGAUACUGUGCGGCUAGAGGACCGGAGAGGAUAGUGGAAUUCCCAGUGUAGAGGUGAAAUUCGUAGAUAUUGGGAAGAACACCGGUGGCGAAGGCGGCUAUCUGGCCCGUAAUUGACGCUGAGGCGCGAAAGCGUGGGGAGCAAACAGG
This 253-nucleotide ribosomal RNA is filed under the name uncultured bacterium. RNAcentral's name for it is "partial 16S ribosomal RNA". It matches the Rfam family "Bacterial small subunit ribosomal RNA", at positions 524 to 776 of the family's 1533-position model. The record is from RNAcentral.